AUGUCUUGACCAAAUCACGUGCCAGCAGUCGCGGUAAUACGUGGAAGACUAGUGUUAUUCAUCUUUAAUAGGUUUAAAGGGUACUUAGACGAUUGAUUAAGCCUCAAGUGGUACUAAUCAAAUAGAGUUUUAUACAAGAAGGGGAGUACUAAAGAGUGUAGAGAUGAAAUUCUGUCAUACCUGACUUGGAACAGACAAAGGCGAAAGCAACCUUUUAUGUAAAAACUGACGUUGAAAGACGAAGGCUUAGGACACCAACAGGAUUAGAUACCCUAGCAGUCUAAGCAGACAAUGAUGAAUGUCAUAGAUUAGAAUUAUAAUUUUGUCUAUAAAUGAAAGUGUAAGCAUUCCACCUCAAGAGUAAUGUGGCAACGCAGGAACUGAAAUCAUUAGACCGUUUCUGAAACCAGUAGUGAAGUAUGUUGUUUAAUUUGUCGGUCCGCAAAACACCUUACCACAAUUUGAAUAGUUUUAAUUUAAACAAAUUGUUUAAAUUAAUAUUACAAGCGUUGCACGGCUGUUUUCAGUUAAUGUCGUGAGAUUUUGGUUAGUUCCAUAAAAUUAACGUAAACCCUUACUUUAUUUAUCAAUAUAAAGUAGUUCUCCGUUAUAUUGGAUAUGAUAAAAGGGAAUAAGACAAGUCCAUCUGGCCUUAAUAUUGUGGGCUAUAGACGUGCCACAUA
RNAcentral lists this ribosomal RNA (683 nucleotides) under Trapeliopsis flexuosa. Its description in RNAcentral is "SSU rRNA". It matches the Rfam family "Bacterial small subunit ribosomal RNA", at positions 488 to 1231 of the family's 1533-position model. The record is from RNAcentral. Lineage: Eukaryota; Fungi; Ascomycota; Lecanoromycetes; Trapeliales; Trapeliaceae.